Non-coding RNA from Ornithorhynchus anatinus (platypus), 138 nucleotides. The record is from Rfam. Lineage: Eukaryota; Metazoa; Chordata; Mammalia; Monotremata; Ornithorhynchidae.
CCCCUCUCAGGAUCGCAGCUGGGGAAUUUCCACUACUCUACCAGUCUCGACUAUGGGAGGGAGAGUCAAGCAGAGGUAUACCCAUUCCAUUCCUAGCUUGGGCAGUGGCUAGCGAGUGGACGGUAAUCUGCUUCAAGU